UACGAAGGGUGCAAGCGUUACUCGGAAUUACUGGGCGUAAAGCGUGCGUAGGUGGUUUGUUAAGUCUGUUGUGAAAGCCCCGGGCUCAACCUGGGAAUGGCAAUGGAUACUGGCAAGCUAGAGUGCGGUAGAGGGUAGUGGAAUUCCCGGUGUAGCGGUGAAAUGCGUAGAGAUCGGGAGGAACACCAGUGGCGAAGGCGACUUCCUGGACCAAUACUGACGCUCAGGUGCGAAAGCGUGGGGAGCAAACAGG
Molecule: ribosomal RNA, 253 nt
Filed under: uncultured bacterium
Lineage: Bacteria
Description: partial 16S ribosomal RNA
Rfam family: Bacterial small subunit ribosomal RNA
Source: RNAcentral